CGAAAAUUCGCUGUCUGGACUUCUCGGAACAUUGGAAAGCAAGCCAUGGAGACGCAAUCACCGACAAGAAAUCUGGUGAUGGGUCUUUUUUUAUUAAUCGUCUUCGUCUCCACUGUGAAAGCUUGGACAGGUGAAAUCCAUGGAAGGGUUAUUUGUGAUGUCUGUGCUGAUUCGUCCGUUGGCCCUGAGGAUCAUAUCUUAGAAGGUGCUGAAGUCGCUGUUCUUUGCAUAACAAAAUCUGGAGAAGUUCUAAAUUACCAAGCAUUUACAAAUGCAAAGGGGAUAUAUACCGUAGCAGAAACCAUGCCUGAGAGUGACCGUUGGGAUGCAUGCUUGGCAAGACCUAUCAGUAGUUUCCAUGAUCACUGCACCCAUCUCGGGGAAGGAAGUACAGGAGUGAAGUUCGCUUAUAAUCAUCCAUCAGGCUAUUCUCACACCGUCAGACCAUUUGUCUAUCGCCCUGCUAGUGUUCCUACUUAUUGCAUCUAGAUGCUACUGUUAUCAUGUAUAUUAUACUUAUCAAUUGUGCUUGUUCUAUCUUCUAUGUAGAACAAAUUAGAGUACAGGCUGGCCCAUGUUUUACAGAAACAUGUUGGAUAUCAAUGUGCUUGUUUGUGAUAGACUAGAUCUGUAGCUCAGCAUAUUGUUUUUUUUUUUAACAAAAG
This 665-nucleotide unclassified non-coding RNA is filed under the name Hevea brasiliensis (rubber tree). Lineage: Eukaryota; Viridiplantae; Streptophyta; Magnoliopsida; Malpighiales; Euphorbiaceae. The record is from RNAcentral.